RNAcentral lists this ribosomal RNA (484 nucleotides) under Cryptosporidium sp. RNAcentral describes it as "SSU rRNA". It matches the Rfam family "Eukaryotic small subunit ribosomal RNA", at positions 514 to 1024 of the family's 1831-position model. The record is from RNAcentral. Lineage: Eukaryota; Apicomplexa; Conoidasida; Eucoccidiorida; Cryptosporidiidae.
AUGAGUUAAGUAUAAACCCCUUUACAAGUAACAAUUGGAGGGCAAGUCUGCUGCCAGCAGCCGCGGUAAUUCCAGCUCCAAUAGCGUAUAUUAAAGUUGUUGCAGUUAAAAAGCUCGUAGUUGGAUUUCUGUUAAUAAUUUAUAUUAGUAUACAUUUUUGUAUUUAAUAUGAUAUUAACAUAAUUCAUAUUACUAAUUUUAGUAUAUGAAAUUUUACUUUGAGAAAAUUAGAGUGCUUAAAGCAGGCAAUUGCCUUGUAUACUACAGCAUGGAAUAAUAAUAAAAGAUUUUUAUCCUUUUUUUAUUGGUUCUAAGAUAAAAAUAAUGAUUAAUAGGGACAGUUGGGGGCAUUUGUAUUUAACAGUUAGAGGUGAAAUUCUUAGAUUUGUUAAAGACAAACUAAUGCGAAAGCAUUUGCCAAGGAUGUUUUCAUUAAUCAGGAACGAAAGUUAGGGGAUCGAAGACGAUCAGAUACCGUCGUAGU